Molecule: ribosomal RNA, 460 nt
Filed under: uncultured bacterium
Lineage: Bacteria
Description: partial 16S ribosomal RNA
Rfam family: Bacterial small subunit ribosomal RNA
Source: RNAcentral
CCUACGGGAGGCAGCAGUGAGGAAUAUUGGUCAAUGGACGAGAGUCUGAACCAGCCAAGUAGCGUGAAGGAUGACUGCCCUAUGGGUUGUAAACUUCUUUUAUAUGGGAAUAAAACGUUCCACGUGUGGGAUUUUGUAUGUACCAUAUGAAUAAGGAUCGGCUAACUCCGUGCCAGCAGCCGCGGUAAUACGGAGGAUCCGAGCGUUAUCCGGAUUUAUUGGGUUUAAAGGGAGCGUAGGUGGAUUGUUAAGUCAGUUGUGAAAGUUUGCGGCUCAACCGUAAUAUUGCAGUUGAAACUGGCAGUCUUGAGUACAGUAGAGGUGGGCGGAAUUCGUGGUGUAGCGGUGAAAUGCUUAGAUAUCACGAAGAACUCCGAUUGCGAAGGCAGUUCACUGGACUGCAACUGACACUGAGGCUCGAAAGUGUGGGUAUCAAACAGGAUUAGAUACCCCGGUAGUC